AAACUUUCAACAACGGAUCUCUUGGUUCUCGCAUCGAUGAAGAACGCAGCGAAAUGCGAUACGUAAUGUGAAUUGCAGAAUUCCGUGAAUCAUCGAAUCUUUGAACGCACAUUGCGUCCCUUGGUAUUCCAGGGGACAUGCCUGUUUGAGCGUCAUUU
This 158-nucleotide ribosomal RNA is filed under the name Monosporozyma siamensis. RNAcentral's name for it is "Kazachstania siamensis 5.8S ribosomal RNA". It matches the Rfam family "5.8S ribosomal RNA". From Rfam's summary of the family: 5.8S ribosomal RNA (5.8S rRNA) is a component of the large subunit of the eukaryotic ribosome. Lineage: Eukaryota; Fungi; Ascomycota; Saccharomycetes; Saccharomycetales; Saccharomycetaceae. The record is from RNAcentral.